GCACUGCUGAGGAGUCCCAUACUAGGACGAAACGGCCUUCCAGUUC
Molecule: non-coding RNA, 46 nt
Organism: Schistosoma haematobium
Lineage: Eukaryota; Metazoa; Platyhelminthes; Trematoda; Strigeidida; Schistosomatidae
Source: Rfam